UGGCGGCGUGCCUAAUACAUGCAAGUAGAACGCUGAAGAGAGGAGCUUGCUCUUCUUGGAUGAGUUGCGAACGGGUGAGUAACGCGUAGGUAACCUGCCUUGUAGCGGGGGAUAACUAUUGGAAACGAUAGCUAAUACCGCAUAACAAUGGAUGACCCAUGUCAUUUAUUUGAAAGGGGCAAAUGCUCCACUACAAGAUGGACCUGCGUUGUAUUAGCUAGUAGGUGAGGUAACGGCUCACCUAGGCGACGAUACAUAGCCGACCUGAGAGGGUGAUCGGCCACACUGGGACUGAGACACGGCCCAGACUCCUACGGGAGGCAGCAGUAGGGAAUCUUCGGCAAUGGGGGCAACCCUGACCGAGCAACGCCGCGUGAGUGAAGAAGGUUUUCGGAUCGUAAAGCUCUGUUGUAAGUCAAGAACGAGUGUGAGAGUGGAAAGUUCACACUGUGACGGUAGCUUACCAGAAAGGGACGGCUAACUACGUGCCAGCAGCCGCGGUAAUACGUAGGUCCCGAGCGUUGUCCGGAUUUAUUGGGCGUAAAGCGAGCGCAGGCGGUUUGAUAAGUCUGAAGUUAAAGGCUGUGGCUCAACCAUAGUUCGCUUUGGAAACUGUCAAACUUGAGUGCAGAAGGGGAGAGUGGAAUUCCAUGUGUAGCGGUGAAAUGCGUAGAUAUAUGGAGGAACACCGGUGGCGAAAGCGGCUCUCUGGUCUGUAACUGACGCUGAGGCUCGAAAGCGUGGGGAGCGAACAGGAUUAGAUACCCUGGUAGUCCACGCCGUAAACGAUGAGUGCUAGGUGUUGGAUCCUUUCCGGGAUUCAGUGCCGCAGCUAACGCAUUAAGCACUCCGCCUGGGGAGUACGACCGCAAGGUUGAAACUCAAAGGAAUUGACGGGGGCCCGCACAAGCGGUGGAGCAUGUGGUUUAAUUCGAAGCAACGCGAAGAACCUUACCAGGUCUUGACAUCCCGAUGCUAUUUCUAGAGAUAGAAAGUUACUUCGGUACAUCGGUGACAGGUGGUGCAUGGUUGUCGUCAGCUCGUGUCGUGAGAUGUUGGGUUAAGUCCCGCAACGAGCGCAACCCCUAUUGUUAGUUGCCAUCAUUCAGUUGGGCACUCUAGCGAGACUGCCGGUAAUAAACCGGAGGAAGGUGGGGAUGACGUCAAAUCAUCAUGCCCCUUAUGACCUGGGCUACACACGUGUUACAAUGGUUGGUACAACGAGUUGCGAGUCGGUGACGGCAAGCUAAUCUCUUAAAGCCAAUCUCGGUUCGGAUUGUAGGCUGCAACUCGCCUACAUGAAGUCGGAAUCGCUAGUAAUCGCGGAUCAGCACGCCGCGGUGAAUACGUUCCCGGGCCUUGUACACACCGCCCGUCACACCACGAGAGUUUGUAACACCCGAAGUCGGUGAGGUAACCUUUUGGAGCCAGCCGCCUAAGGUGGGAUA
RNAcentral lists this ribosomal RNA (1448 nucleotides) under uncultured organism. RNAcentral describes it as "SSU rRNA". It matches the Rfam family "Bacterial small subunit ribosomal RNA". The record is from RNAcentral.